This 253-nucleotide ribosomal RNA is filed under the name uncultured bacterium. Its description in RNAcentral is "partial 16S ribosomal RNA". It matches the Rfam family "Bacterial small subunit ribosomal RNA", at positions 524 to 776 of the family's 1533-position model. The record is from RNAcentral.
UACAGAGGUCUCAAGCGUUGUUCGGAUUUAUUGGGCGUAAAGGGUGCGUAGGCGGUAGAGUAAGUCAGGUGUGAAAGCUCGAAGCUCAACUUCGAAAUUGCAUUCGAUACUGCUCUGCUUGAGCGCUGGAGAGGAGACUGGAAUUUACGGUGUAGCAGUGAAAUGCGUAGAUAUCGUAAGGAAGACCAGUGGCGAAAGCGAGUCUCUGGACAGCAGCUGACGCUGAUGCACGAAGGCCAGGGGAGCAAACGGG